This 650-nucleotide ribosomal RNA is filed under the name uncultured bacterium. RNAcentral describes it as "bacterial SSU rRNA". It matches the Rfam family "Bacterial small subunit ribosomal RNA", at positions 51 to 721 of the family's 1533-position model. The record is from RNAcentral.
ACACAUGCAAGUCGAACGAAGUAGUAAUACUUAGUGGCAGACGGGUGAGUAACAUGUGGGUAUCUACCCUUUGGCCUGGAAUAACACGAGGAAACUUGUGCUAAUACCGGAUAAGUCUUUACGGAGAAAGCUUUAUGCACCAUUGGAUGAGCCCGCACUUGAUUAGUUUGUUGGUAGGGUAAUGGCUCACCAAGGCAACGAUCCCUAGCUGGUUUGAGAGGAUGAUCAGCCACACUGGAACUGAGACACGGUCCAGACUCCUACGGGAGGCAGCAGUGGGGAAUAUUGCACAAUGGGCGAAAGCCUGAUGCAGCCAUGCCGCGUGUGUGAAGAGGGCCUUCGGGUUGUAAAGCACUUUCAGUCAGGAGGAAAGGGUGUGAGUUAAUACCUCACAUCUGUGACGUUACUGACAGAAGAAGCACCGGCUAACUCCGUGCCAGCAGCCGCGGUAAUACGGAGGGUGCGAGCGUUAAUCGGAAUUACUGGGCGUAAAGCGUACGCAGGCGGUUUGUUAAGCGAGAUGUGAAAGCCCCGGGCUCAACCUGGGAACUGCAUUUCGAACUGGCAAACUAGAGUGUGAUAGAGGGUGGUAGAAUUUCAGGUGUAGCGGUGAAAUGCGUAGAGAUCUGAAGGAAUACCGAUGGCGAAGG